This 554-nucleotide ribosomal RNA is filed under the name Pichia sp. RNAcentral describes it as "partial large subunit ribosomal RNA". It matches the Rfam family "Eukaryotic large subunit ribosomal RNA", at positions 84 to 658 of the family's 3401-position model. Lineage: Eukaryota; Fungi; Ascomycota; Pichiomycetes; Pichiales; Pichiaceae. The record is from RNAcentral.
UAGCGGCGAGUGAAGCGGCAAGAGCUCAGAUUUGAAAUCGCCCCUUUUUAUGGGGGGCGAGUUGUAAAUUGCAGGUUGGAGUCUUUGUGGAGGCCGGUGUCGAAGUCCCUUGGAACAGGGCGCCAUUGAGGGUGAGAGCCCCGUGCGAUGCCGGCUGAAGCUUUAAGGCCCUUCUGACGAGUCGAGUUGUUUGGGAAUGCAGCUCUAAGUGGGUGGUAAAUUCCAUCUAAGGCUAAAUAUUGGCGAGAGACCGAUAGCGAACAAGUACUGUGAAGGAAAGAUGAAAAGCACUUUGAAAAGAGAGUGAAACAGCACGUGAAAUUGUUGAAAGGGAAGGGUAUUGGGCUCGACAUGGGAUUUGCGCACCGCUGCUCCUUGUGGGCGGCGCUCUGGGCUUUUCCUGGGCCAGCAUCGGUUUCUGCUGCAGGAGAAGGGGUGCCGGAAUGUGGCUCUUCGGAGUGUUAUAGCCGGUGCCAGAUGCUGCGUGUGGGGACCGAGGACUGCGACAUCUGUCUCGGAUGCUGGCACAACGGCGCAAUACCGCCCGUCUUGAA